UACACAAUAUGAAGGCGGGCUGGACACCCUCCAGCCGGGCACUGCUUCACGGCGUGCGCGGCUGGAGCCGGCCCUGCUGAAUUAUUCACCCGUGUCUUUUGCGUACUUCUUGUUUCCUGGGUGGGCUCGCCCGCCAUCAGGACCAACCAUAAACCUUUUUGUAAUAGCAAUCAGCGUCAGUAACAACGUAAUUAAUUACAACUUUCAACAACGGAUCUCUUGGUUCUGGCAUCGAUGAAGAACGCAGCGAAAUGCGAUACGUAGUGUGAAUUGCAGAAUUCAGUGAAUCAUCGAAUCUUUGAACGCACAUUGCGCCCUUUGGUAUUCCAAAGGGCAUGCCUGUUCGAGCGUCAUUUGUACCCUCAAGCUUUGCUUGGUGUUGGGCGUCUUUUGUCUCCAGCUCGCUGGAGACUCGCCUUAAAGUCAUUGGCAGCCGGCCUACUGGUUUCGGAGCGCAGCACAAGUCGCGCUCUUGCCCAGCCAAGGUCAGCGUCCAGCAAGCCUUUUUUCAACCUUUGACCUCGGAUCAGGUAGGGAUACCCGCUGAACUUAAGCAUAUCAAUAAGCGGAGGAAAAGAAACCAACAGGGAUUGCCCUAGUAACGGCGAGUGAAGCGGCAACAGCUCAAAUUUGAAAUCUGGCUCUUUCAGAGUCCGAGUUGUAAUUUGCAGAGGGCGCUUUUGGCUUUGGCAGCGGUCCAAGUUCCUUGGAACAGGACGUCACAGAGGGUGAGAAUCCCGUACGUGGUCGCUGGCUAUUGCCGUGUAAAGCCCCU
This 775-nucleotide ribosomal RNA is filed under the name fungal endophyte. RNAcentral's name for it is "eukaryotic LSU rRNA". The stretch from base 517 to 775 matches the Rfam family "Eukaryotic large subunit ribosomal RNA", at positions 1 to 256 of the family's 3401-position model. The record is from RNAcentral. Lineage: Eukaryota; Fungi.